Ipomoea triloba (trilobed morning glory) is the source of this 1405-nucleotide long non-coding RNA. RefSeq lists it as uncharacterized. The record is from RefSeq and is a predicted model, not a curated record. The transcript is spliced from 2 exons. Lineage: Eukaryota; Viridiplantae; Streptophyta; Magnoliopsida; Solanales; Convolvulaceae.
UCCCAAGGGUCAAAUUCUUCUUCUCCAUCCCACGCUUAGCUUCUUUUUCUUCUUCUCCAUCCCAACUUCUUCUUCUUCACACUUAGCAGAUUCUUAGAUUUUUCUUCUUCUUUUGAGACCCAAACCGUAGCAAAUUCUUAGAUUCUUCUUCUUCUUCGUUUGAGACCCAAGCCAUCGACGCUCACCAUCUAUGCUGUCAACUCCUUCGCCGCCGCCGACACCAUUUUCUUCAGAUCUACUGCCUGUGGACGCCAACGCCAAUCACCGCCUAUGCCGUCAACUCCUCCGCCGCCGCCGACGCCAUUCUCUUUAGAUCUACUGCCUAUGGACGCCAACACCAGUCACCGCCUAUGCCGUCAACUCCUCCGCCGCCGCCGACGCCAUUCUCUUCAGAUCUACUACCUGUGGACGCUAACGCCGCUCACCGCCUAUGCUGUCAACUCCUCCGCUGCCGCCGCCGCCAUUCUCUUCAGAUCUGUUGCGAACUGCCGGACGUCGACACUACUCACAGCCAUUGCCGUCGUCUCCAUCGCCGACGCCGCUCCUCCACCAUUGCCGUCGUCUGAUAAGUUCCUUUUUUUUUGUUUAAAUUUUGUAUUUCAUUUAUUUAUUUUUAUUUAUUUAUUUCGAAUAUUAGUGUAUUUAUUUGGAAUAUUAUUAGUGUAUUUGAUUUAUUUCCUUUUAUUUGUAAUUUAUUUUGAAUACUAUGUGUCUAUGGCUAUUGUUCUAUAUUUGGAUUUUGUUGAAUAUUAGUGUUUGAUUUUUUUUUUAAAUUGAAUUUUAUUCUAAUUUUGAAUAUUUAUUGUGAAUUUUCAAAAUUUUAAAAUUUUAUUAUUAUUGUGAAUACUAUGGCUAUCGACGCAGUGUGUUUGUAUAUAGAUAUAUUGAGAUAUGUAUGUUGUGAAUAAUAUGGUUAUUGUGAAUAAUAUGGCUACUGAACUCAGUUUUGGUUUAUUUCCUGUGUGUUAACCUGCCUUUGUAAUUUGUGACAACCACAUAUAUCCUAGGAGUUGUUUGUGUAUAUCCUCAGAGAAUUUUAAAUUUGCACACAACAAGAAUUUGGGAUUUUCUGCAAGUAAAAUCUCAUUUGAAGAAUGGAAUACUAAGAAGGGCUCAUUUUGGAGUUGCUUCUAUAAUUGGUGUCAUAGAUUCUGGUUAGUAUGUAAUGGUGCCCAUGGUUGUUAACAUUUACAUUGCAGUUUGGCUUAUUAUUAUUAUUCAAUUUUUGCUUAGUGCAGAGAUAUGGCCUGAAUAUGAAAGCUUUAAUGAUGAUGGAUUUCAUAGUGUUCCAUCCUAUUGGAAGAGAAUGUGCCAAGAAGGAGAAGAAUUUAAUAGUUCCAACUGUAGCAGAUUUGCAGCUUCCAGAUGAUAUAGAGUGGAGUUUCAUUGGGAAUUUAUAGAGAAA